RNAcentral lists this ribosomal RNA (483 nucleotides) under uncultured bacterium. Its description in RNAcentral is "partial 16S ribosomal RNA". It matches the Rfam family "Bacterial small subunit ribosomal RNA", at positions 28 to 523 of the family's 1533-position model. The record is from RNAcentral.
GACGAACGCUGGCGGCGUGCUUAACACAUGCAAGUCGAACGGUGAAGGUGGAGCUUGCUCCGCCGGAUCAGUGGCGAACGGGUGAGUAACACGUGGGCAACCUGCCCCUAACUUUGGGAUAACUACUCGAAAGAGUAGCUAAUACCGGAUAUGAAGUCUGUAGGCAUCUACGGAUUUGGAAAGUUUUUCGGUUAGGGAUGGGCCCGCGGCCUAUCAGCUUGUUGGUGAGGUAGUGGCUCACCAAGGCGACGACGGGUAGCCGGCCUGAGAGGGCGACCGGCCACACUGGGACUGAGACACGGCCCAGACUCCUACGGGAGGCAGCAGUGGGGAAUAUUGCGCAAUGGGCGAAAGCCUGACGCAGCAACGCCGCGUGCGGGAUGAAGGCCUUCGGGUUGUAAACCGCUUUCAGCAGGGAAGAAGCGAAAGUGACGGUACCUGCAGAAGAAGCACCGGCUAACUACGUGCCAGCAACCGCAGUAA